This 468-nucleotide ribosomal RNA is filed under the name uncultured bacterium. Its description in RNAcentral is "partial 16S ribosomal RNA". It matches the Rfam family "Bacterial small subunit ribosomal RNA", at positions 28 to 507 of the family's 1533-position model. The record is from RNAcentral.
GACGAACGCUGGCGGCGUGCUUAACACAUGCAAGUCGAACGGAAAGGCCCUGCUUUUGUGGGGUGCUCGAGUGGCGAACGGGUGAGUAACACGUGAGUAACCUGCCCUUGACUUUGGGAUAACUUCAGGAAACUGGGGCUAAUACCGGAUAGGAGCUCCUGCUGCAUGGUGGGGGUUGGAAAGUUUCGGCGGUUGGGGCUGGACUCGCGGCUUAUCAGCUGGUUGGUGGGGUAGUGGCUUACCAAGGCUUUGACGGGUAGCCGGCCUGGGAGGGUGGCCGGCGACAUUGGGACUGAGGUACGGCCCAGACUCCUACGGGAGGCAGCAGUGGAGAAUAUUGCACAAUGGGCGGAAGCAUGAUGCAGCGACGCCGCGAGCGGGAUGACGGCCUUCGGGUUGUAAACCGCUUUCGCCUGUGACGAAGCGUGAGUGACGGUAAUGGGUAAAGAAGCACCGGCUAACUACGUG